This 497-nucleotide ribosomal RNA is filed under the name uncultured bacterium. Its description in RNAcentral is "partial 16S ribosomal RNA". It matches the Rfam family "Bacterial small subunit ribosomal RNA", at positions 28 to 507 of the family's 1533-position model. The record is from RNAcentral.
GAUGAACGCUGGCGGCGUGCCUAAUACAUGCAAGUUGAGCGAACGGACGAGAAGCUUGCUUUUCUGAUGUUAGCGGCGGACGGGUGAGUAACACGUGGAUAACCUACCUAUAAGACUGGGAUAACUUCGGGAAACCGGAGCUAAUACCGGAUAAUAUUUUGAACCGCAUGGUUCAAAAGUGAAAGACGGUCUUGCUGUCACUUAUAGAUGGAUCCGCGCUGCAUUAGCUAGUUGGUAAGGUAACGGCUUACCAAGGCAACGAUGCAUAGCCGACCUGAGAGGGUGAUCGGCCACACUGGAACUGAGACACGGUCCAGACUCCUACGGGAGGCAGCAGUAGGGAAUCUUCCGCAAAGGGCGAAAGCCUGACGGAGCAACGCCGCGUGAGUGAUGAAGGUCUUCGGAUCGUAAAACUCUGUUAUUAGGGAAGAACAUAUGUGUAAGUAACUGUGCACAUCUUGACGGUACCUAAUCAGAAAGCCACGGCUAACUACGUG